This 301-nucleotide long non-coding RNA is filed under the name Mustela putorius furo (domestic ferret). RNAcentral's name for it is "lncRNA (ENSMPUG00000030471.1)". Lineage: Eukaryota; Metazoa; Chordata; Mammalia; Carnivora; Mustelidae. The record is from RNAcentral.
UGAGUUCCCACUAUGCACUACGAGCUGGUGGGCAGACGUCUCAACAUGUAGUUGUGGGAUUUUUGACCCUGCAGAGGUCAUGACCAAGGCAGAUCUUCACCACAGAUCAACCAUUCCCAGCCCUCUGAAGCUCUGGAACUUUCGCCUUGGACACAUCACCCCGCCUGUACACAGUAAGAAAGUCAACCUCCCAAGAAUGGUCCCAGCACACCUUUUUGAGCCAGUGUCCCGAUGUAGGUGAAAAGGCUGCCUUUGGGCCCAACAUCUACAGCAGAAAGAAGGAAGCCAUGUUGUACAGUUU